UCGCUUUGCGGUCAGCUCCUCCAUCUUUGGAUGCCAUCCUUUGUUUUGCGUUUGUAAAAGCAUCAUCUAAGCGUUAUCCUGAGCUUUUGUGUACUGACAGUUAAAAUGGCUACAUCUAAAACACUUCCUGUGAUCCGGAUUCUUCUGAUGGGCAGAAAAGCUCAUCUGGAAACACUUUACUGGGAGAAAGAACGUUUUAAACACAGAUGGGAGAGAAGCAGGUUUCUGUGAUCGAUUCUCCAGAUCUACUGGAUCCAGAUCUGAAUGAAGAGCAGCUGGAGAUGACGAAGGAGCAGCUGCUCUCUUGAUCUUCAGCACUAUAUGCACAAACUGCAGCGAUCAGCUGAGAAUGUGCUUUCAGUACAGGCAAAUCUAGAUCCACUUCAGUUUGUCUACAGGUCAAGCAGGGGUGUUGAUGCUAUAAGCACUCUGUUAAAUAUGAUUUUAUCACAUCUUGAGGGCACAAAGACUUUUGUUCGUUUAUUUUUUUAUUGAUUUUUCAUCAGCUUUUAAUUGUAUACAGCCUCAUAUCCUUGCAGAAAGGUUUAAGAGUGUUCAUAAUAUUGAUUAUGAGUUGAUUUGUUGGCUGAUGGAUUUUUUGACCAAGAGGUCUCAACGUGUGAAGGUAAACAGUGUUUUAUCUGAUGUACUUCUUUCCUCUACCGCUGUUCUUUCACCUCUUUUAUUUGUGCUUCACACUACUGAGUGUCAGACGCAACUACAGAGGCGUCACAUCAUUAAGAUUGCAGAUGAUUCAGUGAUUGUUUCCCUCUUUAAUAACGAGGAUCCUGAUCAUGGGUCUGU
Molecule: long non-coding RNA, 804 nt
Organism: Ctenopharyngodon idella (grass carp)
Lineage: Eukaryota; Metazoa; Chordata; Actinopteri; Cypriniformes; Xenocyprididae
Exons: 3
Source: RefSeq, a predicted model, not a curated record